GCCUGGCUGGCUCUGUGGGUAGAGCAUGUGACUUGUGAUCUUGAUCUCAUGGUCAUGAGUUCAAACCCCAUGUUGGGUG
RNAcentral lists this transfer RNA (79 nucleotides) under Ailuropoda melanoleuca (giant panda). It matches the Rfam family "tRNA". Rfam says of the family: Transfer RNA (tRNA) molecules are approximately 80 nucleotides in length. Their secondary structure includes four short double-helical elements and three loops (D, anti-codon, and T loops). Lineage: Eukaryota; Metazoa; Chordata; Mammalia; Carnivora; Ursidae. The record is from Rfam by way of RNAcentral.